Molecule: ribosomal RNA, 503 nt
Filed under: uncultured bacterium
Lineage: Bacteria
Description: partial 16S ribosomal RNA
Rfam family: Bacterial small subunit ribosomal RNA
Source: RNAcentral
AUUGAACGCUGGCGGCAGGCUUAACACAUGCAAGUCGAGCGGGGUGAUGGUGCUUGCACUAUCACUUAGCGGCGGACGGGUGAGUAAUGCUUAGGAAUCUGCCUAUUAGUGGGGGACAACAUCUCGAAAGGGAUGCUAAUACCGCAUACGUCCUACGGGAGAAAGCAGGGGAUCACUUGUGACCUUGCGCUAAUAGAUGAGCCUAAGUCGGAUUAGCGAGGUGGUGGGGUAAAGGCCUACCAAGGCGACGAUCUGUAGCGGGUCUGAGAGGAUGAUCCGCCACACUGGGACUGAGACACGGCCCAGACGCCUACGGGAGGCAGCAGUGGGGAAUAUUGGACAAUGGGGGGAACCCUGAUCCAGCCAUGCCGCGUGUGUGAAGAAGGCCUUAUGGUUGUAAAGCACUUUAAGCGAGGAGGAGGCUCUUUUGGUUAAUACCCAGGAUGAGUGGACGUUACUCGCAGAAUAAGCACCGGCUAACUCUGUGCCAGCCGCCGCCGUAA